Molecule: long non-coding RNA, 657 nt
Organism: Brienomyrus brachyistius
Lineage: Eukaryota; Metazoa; Chordata; Actinopteri; Osteoglossiformes; Mormyridae
Exons: 2
Source: RefSeq, a predicted model, not a curated record
GUCAUUGAUAUUAUUGUCUACAUGUGCUCCUCAUUAUGCCCCAUGUCCAGUGGUCUUGCCUGAUCCUCCUUACUCUGUUUUGACCACUCGUGGUACUUUUCCUUUACUCUGCCUGUUGUUCCAUUUAAUAACGCUCCUUUUGGUUUUCCCCAUGCCUGCCAUUGACUCCAUCCUUGCCUUUGAUGUGACAGUUUCAGACCAUAGAUUUCCUCAUGCCUCACUGACAUCACAGCCUUAGAUGAGGGAUCACCACCUCCAGCUGUCCAAAGACCAGCUUCUUGUCUUCCCUGGCAAGCCUGCCCUUCACCAUGAUAUCACUAUGUAGCUUAGAUCACCAUUGUCUCCGUCUUUACCAGAAAGGCGGGAGAAAUGAAAGAGGACCAGCUAUCCUUCAUGACUGCACACCAGCUAUCCUUCAUGACUGCAUACCAGCUAUCAUUACCUGAACGCAUGCAGGUACCUCCUGAUCUUGUAGCUUUAAUCUGUAUAAUAUCAUGAAGGUCAGGCCUUAUUUAUCAGAAUAUGUAGCUUAGCUUUUUGUCCAGGAUCUUGUCACAACUAGACUACUGAAACAACCGCAAGCUUUCUGAAACCUCUACAGAUGAUUCAAAAUGCAGUAGCAUGUCUGGUUUUCAAUAAAAAUGCACUCAUGCUACA